Long non-coding RNA from Leptopilina heterotoma, 596 nucleotides. RefSeq lists it as uncharacterized. The record is from RefSeq and is a predicted model, not a curated record. The transcript is spliced from 4 exons. Lineage: Eukaryota; Metazoa; Arthropoda; Insecta; Hymenoptera; Figitidae.
UUCCAAACGCGCUGGACUACCUUCAGUUGUCGACACAAGGAACUUCUCCGUACUCGCUGGUUUCAUCACCUGCAAACACGAAACUAAUAUUGCGUUAAACUGAUUUACCGAUUCAAUGUCAGCAUCAGAGUUUCAGAUUCGAAAAUUAAAAUUUUUAAUGGAAAAUUUGAAGGAUUUUUGAUGUCAAGGAUUUAAAGUUAAAGGAAAAGUUUUACCUUUGGAGCGCCGACGACUUGCAAUGAAACUGGAUCACUUUGGACUUCUCUGACAUUUCCGUUUAUCUUAUUGGCGGCUAAACAGAUGUAUUGACCCUGUUGAUCGUAGGUGACGUUUGUUAAAAUUAAACGUUGACCUUUUCCACAUUCCACAGGUGGCAUGGCGUCUGCAUUGCAUUCAAAAGAAGCUGACGAGUAAAGUAGAGCGGUUUUCCGUCUGUCAGGACCAACUAAACUGAUUCUUGAGGAAAAUUUUGCACCAACUUGAUUAAAAAAUGAAAAAAAAAUUGAAAAACUGAGAUGAAAAUUUUUCUUACAAUUGACGGAUAUUUGAACUGAGACAGGACUGCUUUCGCCUUCGGUGUUGGACGCUUCGCAAAU